AAUACUCCUGACUGACCGAUAGUGAACCAGUACCGUGAGGGAAAGGCGAAAAGAACCCCGGCGAGGGGAGUGAAAAAGAACCUGAAACCGUGUACGUACAAGCAGUGGGAGCCUCUUUUAUGGGGUGACUGCGUACCUUUUGUAUAAUGGGUCAGCGACUUAUAUUCUGUAGCAAGGUUAACCGAAUAGGGGAGCCGAAGGGAAACCGAGUCUUAACUGGGCGUUAAGUUGCAGGGUAUAGACCCGAAACCCGGUGAUCUAGCCAUGGGCAGGUUGAAGGUUGGGUAACACUAACUGGAGGACCGAACCGACUAAUGUUGAAAAAUUAGCGGAUGACUUGUGGCUGGGGGUGAAAGGCCAAUCAAACCGGGAGAUAGCUGGUUCUCCCCGAAAGCUAUUUAGGUAGCGCCUCGUGAAUUCAUCUCCGGGGGUAGAGCACUGUUUCGGCAAGGGGGUCAUCCCGACUUACCAACCCGAUGCAAACUGCGAAUACCGGAGAAUGUUAUCACGGGAGACACACGGCGGGUGCUAACGUCCGUCGUGAAGAGGGAAACAACCCAGACCGCCAGCUAAGGUCCCAAAGUCAUGGUUAAGUGGGAAACGAUGUGGGAAGGCCCAGACAGCCAGGAUGUUGGCUUAGAAGCAGCCAUCAUUUAAAGAAAGCGUAAUAGCUCACUGGUCGAGUCGGCCUGCGCGGAAGAUGUAACGGGGCUAAACCAUGCACCGAAGCUGCGGCAGCGACACUGUGUGUUGUUGGGUAGGGGAGCGUUCUGUAAGCCUGUGAAGGUGUACUGUGAGGUAUGCUGGAGGUAUCAGAAGUGCGAAUGCUGACAUAAGUAACGAUAAAGCGGGUGAAAAGCCCGCUCGCCGGAAGACCAAGGGUUCCUGUCCAACGUUAAUCGGGGCAGGGUGAGUCGACCCCUAAGGCGAGGCCGAAAGGCGUAGUCGAUGGGAAACAGGUUAAUAUUCCUGUACUUGGUGUUACUGCGAAGGGGGGACGGAGAAGGCUAUGUUGGCCGGGCGACGGUUGUCCCGGUUUAAGCGUGUAGGCUGGUUUUCCAGGCAAAUCCGGAAAAUCAAGGCUGAGGCGUGAUGACGAGGCACUACGGUGCUGAAGCAACAAAUGCCCUGCUUCCAGGAAAAGCCUCUAAGCAUCAGGUAACAUCAAAUCGUACCCCAAACCGACACAGGUGGUCAGGUAGAGAAUACCAAGGCGCUUGAGAGAACUCGGGUGAAGGAACUAGGCAAAAUGGUGCCGUAACUUCGGGAGAAGGCACGCUGAUAUGUAGGUGAAGUCCCUCGCGGAUGGAGCUGAAAUCAGUCGAAGAUACCAGCUGGCUGCAACUGUUUAUUAAAAACACAGCACUGUGCAAACACGAAAGUGGACGUAUACGGUGUGACGCCUGCCCGGUGCCGGAAGGUUAAUUGAUGGGGUCAGCGCAAGCGAAGCUCUUGAUCGAAGCCCCGGUAAACGGCGGCCGUAACUAUAACGGUCCUAAGGUAGCGAAAUUCCUUGUCGGGUAAGUUCCGACCUGCACGAAUGGCGUAAUGAUGGCCAGGCUGUCUCCACCCGAGACUCAGUGAAAUUGAACUCGCUGUGAAGAUGCAGUGUACCCGCGGCAAGACGGAAAGACCCCGUGAACCUUUACUAUAGCUUGACACUGAACAUUGAGCCUUGAUGUGUAGGAUAGGUGGGAGGCUUUGAAGUGUGGACGCCAGUCUGCAUGGAGCCGACCUUGAAAUACCACCCUUUAAUGUUUGAUGUUCUAACGUGGACCCGUGAUCCGGGUUGCGGACAGUGUCUGGUGGGUAGUUUGACUGGGGCGGUCUCCUCCUAAAGAGUAACGGAGGAGCACGAAGGUUGGCUAAUCCUGGUCGGACAUCAGGAGGUUAGUGCAAUGGCAUAAGCCAGCUUGACUGCGAGCGUGACGGCGCGAGCAGGUGCGAAAGCAGGUCAUAGUGAUCCGGUGGUUCUGAAUGGAAGGGCCAUCGCUCAACGGAUAAAAGGUACUCCGGGGAUAACAGGCUGAUACCGCCCAAGAGUUCAUAUCGACGGCGGUGUUUGGCACCUCGAUGUCGGCUCAUCACAUCCUGGGGCUGAAGUAGGUCCCAAGGGUAUGGCUGUUCGCCAUUUAAAGUGGUACGCGAGCUGGGUUUAGAACGUCGUGAGACAGUUCGGUCCCUAUCUGCCGUGGGCGCUGGAGAACUGAGGGGGGCUGCUCCUAGUACGAGAGGACCGGAGUGGACGCAUCACUGGUGUUCGGGUUGUCAUGCCAAUGGCACUGCCCGGUAGCUAAAUGCGGAAGAGAUAAGUGCUGAAAGCAUCUAAGCACGAAACUUGCCCCGAGAUGAGUUCUCCCUGAGACUAUAAGUCUCCUGAAGGAACGUUGAAGACGACGACGUUGAUAGGCCGGGUGUGUAAGCGCAGCGAUGCGUUGAGCUAACCGGUACUAAUGAACCGUGAGGCUUAACCUU
RNAcentral lists this ribosomal RNA (2475 nucleotides) under Escherichia coli STEC_MHI813. RNAcentral's name for it is "bacterial LSU rRNA". It matches the Rfam family "Bacterial large subunit ribosomal RNA", at positions 469 to 2925 of the family's 2925-position model. Lineage: Bacteria; Pseudomonadati; Pseudomonadota; Gammaproteobacteria; Enterobacterales; Enterobacteriaceae. The record is from RNAcentral.